RNAcentral lists this long non-coding RNA (1140 nucleotides) under Mus spicilegus (steppe mouse). Its description in RNAcentral is "lncRNA (ENSMSIG00000012110.1)". Lineage: Eukaryota; Metazoa; Chordata; Mammalia; Rodentia; Muridae. The record is from RNAcentral.
CUAAACUGGCAUCCUCUGCAAAGGCCCCAAGGCCUCGUAACUGUCUUUCUGCCUCCUAGAAUCUCACCCUGCGGUCCUGCGUCAUCAGGAGUUUCUCUAGUUUACUGCCUCUUUUGCUUCUUUAUAUGUUUGCUUCUUUACUCAAACCCAGGACCCUGAGUGCGCUAAGCAGCGGCCCCACCACUGAGCAACCUCCCCAACCCCAGAUCUUUGUUUACAGUUACAAGAACUCAAUUCUUAGAUUUAUCAGUUGUGAUAUUUUUUUAGCUUCAAAUGUUCACUUGGUUUUUUUUUUUUUUCAAUCUUUUGCUAAAAUUCCUUUUCAAGAACUUCUUUGUGAAAAUUUCUAAUAAUUGGGCAUAACAUUUCCAUUUUUCUUCUUUCCUUCUCAUGAGACAGUUUAGCAGUUUGACAAGGACGUCAGUGCCAGGAACAAAUCAGCAUGGACCAUACCUUUACCUAGGGUUUCUCAAGGCUGGGACACAACUCAGAGGCAUCUCCUGCCCUUUAAUCCCUUACUCCCUAGAGAGUCUCACUUACUCCUCCUCAGUCAUUUCAGCGCCAACCCAGAUUGUCUACAACUGGUCUGCAGAGGGAAGACAGAUCAAUACACCCACCACUCGCAUGGAGAACCCAGAGAAAUUAGGGCUACCACUGAGACUGCUGGAGAGGAUUAGUCUCCUGGAAGGUCUAGUGCAUGUGUAAGCAUUUGUGAGACCAAGCUCGUCGGGAAGGAGAGCUCUCAUCCCUGGGAACUGCAUGUGCAAUGCCUAGAGGCAAGAGAAUGGCGAAAUGAAGGAACUGAAGGAAGUUCCUGUUUGGCACAGAGCACAGAGAACUAAAACGGGGACACGGUUGGAGAAGAGAAUAGAAACCAAAUUGUGAACAAGCCACAUGAAGGAGCUUCAAGUUUCUCCUUGGGCCGUGGGAAGUCACUUGUUGUAAGAAGAGAGAUAGAAUCAAAUGUUCACUGGAAGUUCUCUGGCUUGCAUACAGAAAGUAGAUUGGGAAAGAGCCAGGGUGGAAAGACAGAGACAGAGACAGAGACAGAGACAGAGACAGAGUGUAUGUGUGUAUAUAUAUAUAUAUAUAUAUAUAUAUAUAUAUAUAUAUAUAUAUAUAUAUAUACUCAAAACAGAG